Astrephomene gubernaculifera is the source of this 80-nucleotide non-coding RNA. Lineage: Eukaryota; Viridiplantae; Chlorophyta; Chlorophyceae; Chlamydomonadales; Astrephomenaceae. The record is from the annotation of a GenBank genome assembly.
CUUUGCCACGUUUGUCUGAACGAUCUACCAAAUCAUCAUGGGGCUUAUAAUGUGGGCUACAGGCGUAUUACAUUAGACAC